UGAGGAAUAUUGCGCAAUGGGGGAAACCCUGACGCAGCAACGCCGCGUGGGUGAAGAAGGCCUUCGGGUCGUAAAGCCCUUUCGGACGGGACGAAAGUUCCGCGGGGAUAAUCCGCGGAGCCUGACGGUACCGUAGGAAGAAGCACCGGCUAACUCCGUGCCAGCAGCCGCGGUAAUACGGAGGGUGCAAGCGUUGUUCGGAAUUACUGGGCGUAAAGCGCGUGUAGGCGGCCUUGUAAGUCAGAUGUGAAAGCCCUCGGCUCAACCGGGGAAGUGCAUCUGAAACGGCAAGGCUUGAGUACGGGAGAGGGAGGCGGAAUUCCCAGUGUAGAGGUGAAAUUCGUAGAUAUUGGGAGGAACACCGGUGGCGAAAGCGGCCUCCUGGACCGAUACUGACGCUGAGACGCGAAAGCGUGGGGAGCAAACAGGAUUAGAUACCCUGGUAGUCCACGCGGUAAACGAUGGGCACUAGGUGUGGGGGGUAUCCACUCCUCCCGUGCCGCAGCUAACGCAUUAAGUGCCCUGCCUGGGGAGUACGGCCGCAAGGCUA
Molecule: ribosomal RNA, 550 nt
Filed under: uncultured bacterium
Lineage: Bacteria
Description: bacterial SSU rRNA
Rfam family: Bacterial small subunit ribosomal RNA
Source: RNAcentral